This 1435-nucleotide ribosomal RNA is filed under the name uncultured Acinetobacter sp. RNAcentral's name for it is "bacterial SSU rRNA". It matches the Rfam family "Bacterial small subunit ribosomal RNA". Lineage: Bacteria; Pseudomonadati; Pseudomonadota; Gammaproteobacteria; Moraxellales; Moraxellaceae. The record is from RNAcentral.
UAACACAUGCAAGUCGAGCGGGGAUUGGGUGCUUGCACCUAAUCUUAGCGGCGGACGGGUGAGUAAUGCUUAGGAAUCUGCCAUUUAGUGGGGGACAACAUUCCGAAAGGGAUGCUAAUACCGCAUACGCCCUACGGGGGAAAGCAGGGGAUCUUCGGACCUUGCGCUAAAUGAUGAGCCUAAGUCGGAUUAGCUAGUUGGUGGGGUAAAGGCCUACCAAGGCGACGAUCUGUAGCGGGUCUGAGAGGAUGAUCCGCCACACUGGGACUGAGACACGGCCCAGACUCCUACGGGAGGCAGCAGUGGGGAAUAUUGGACAAUGGGGGGAACCCUGAUCCAGCCAUGCCGCGUGUGUGAAGAAGGCCUUUUGGUUGUAAAGCACUUUAAGCGAGGAGGAGGCUACCUGGAUUAAUACUCUAGGAUAGUGGACGUUACUCGCAGAAUAAGCACCGGCUAACUCUGUGCCAGCAGCCGCGGUAAUACAGAGGGUGCGAGCGUUAAUCGGAUUUACUGGGCGUAAACCUGCGUAGGCGGCUGAUUAAGUCGGAUGUGAAUCCCUGAGCUUAAUUAGGAAUUGCAUUCGAUACUGGUCAGCUAGAGUAUGGGAGAGGAUGGUAGAAUUCCAGGUGUAGCGGUGAAAUGCGUAGAGAUCUGGAGGAAUACCGAUGGCGAAGGCAGCCAUCUGGCCUAAUACUGACGCUGAGGUACGAAAGCAUGGGGAGCAAACAGGAUUAGAUACCCUGGUAGUCCAUGCCGUAAACGAUGUCUACUAGCCGUUGGGGCCUUUGAGGCUUUAGUGGCGCAGCUAACGCGAUAAGUAGACCGCCUGGGGAGUACGGUCGCAAGACUAAAACUCAAAUGAAUUGACGGGGGCCCGCACAAGCGGUGGAGCAUGUGGUUUAAUUCGAUGCAACGCGAAGAACCUUACCUGGCCUUGACAUAGUAGAAACUUUCCAGAGAUGGAUUGGUGCCUUCGGGAAUCUACAUACAGGUGCUGCAUGGCUGUCGUCAGCUCGUGUCGUGAGAUGUUGGGUUAAGUCCCGCAACGAGCGCAACCCUUUUCCUUACUUGCCAGCAUUUCGGAUGGGAACUUUAAGGAUACUGCCAGUGACAAACUGGAGGAAGGCGGGGACGACGUCAAGUCAUCAUGGCCCUUACGGCCAGGGCUACGCACGUGCUACAAUGGUCGGUACAAAGGGUUGCUACCUAGCGAUAGGAUGCUAAUCUCAAAAAGCCGAUCGUAGUCCGGAUCGCAGUCUGCAACUCGACUGCGUGAAGUCGGAAUCGCUAGUAAUCGCGGAUCAGAAUGCCGCGGUGAAUACGUUCCCGGGCCUUGUACACACCGCCCGUCACACCAUGGGAGUUUGUUGCACCAGAAGUAGGUAGUCUAACCUUAGGGGGGACGCUUACCACGGUGUGGCCGAUGACUGGGGUG